Xyrichtys novacula (pearly razorfish) is the source of this 14426-nucleotide non-coding RNA. NCBI's taxonomy places the organism in Eukaryota, Metazoa, Chordata, Actinopteri, Labriformes, Labridae. The record is from the annotation of a GenBank genome assembly.
UGGAAAGGAAGUCGGGCACAGACACAAAAUAAAACAUCCGGCUUCUUUUCAAAAUAAAACACUCCGUGUUUCAGGAGGAUCGUAUUUCACACCAUGCAAACGGGCGGAGACGAACAAGUGAAAGGUUUUUAGACGUCAUUUCACCCCAAUGACACCAUGGAUGAGGAGAUGCUGAUUCUAGAAGUCUAGAAGUAGAUUUCCUCCUCUGGAAGGACACAAUCUACUGCUUAUAUGUCUAUGUGUCUGUCUUUAUAGGGACAACUUGUUAUCAUGUGGUUGCACAUGAAUCCGCUGGUUCUUGUGAUUCCUGGUGUCCGUAAUACGCCACAAAAUUCGCCUCACAAACGGAUCCCGUAGGAAUUGGCGUUCCAGAUGCGGUGGAAAUCCCGGGUUAAAGAUGAUUAUUUUCCUCCCAAAUUGUCAAUCACUGCACAGUGUGAAAAGUAAAAGAAAUCGAUGUUGUUUAUUUUUGGUUUAUUUUUGAGAUUUUUUUAAGCGAUUACUAAAACCUCGUCUUCCUCACCUGAGGAGAAACAUGACGUCUUCAUGACGGCCUCUGUCACCCGUGCUCCUCACAUUUGUCUGAGGCCUCCUCCCAACAUCCCCCUUCGGUCUGAGCUCACUUUGUUCCUGAGGAAACAGGUGAUGAGUGAACAGGCUGGAUGAGGAGGAGGAGGAGGAGAUGACGACAAGGUCCCCAGACACGUUUUUAAUCAGACCUCCUCCUCUGGGACCAAACUUCUCGGAGACUCAGAUCUACACCUCUAGAGCCGCCCACCCCUCUGGACCCCGGCGCUGACGGACGUCCAGGUGGUGGACCGCUGGGGGAGAAAAGGCCCCGCAGCAGAUGGACGAAGGACCCUGAAGCCGUCAGAGGGAGUGUGAGACGCAGCACAGCUGACGGGGGGCGAAUGAGGCUGUCAUCAACGCCGUUACAGCCAAAUAUGGACGCCUGCUCCUCCGUGUUAAUGACUGUCCAUGAGAGUUAGAGUGAAAAGUCAAGAAGCGCUCUUAUUUCAGUCGCUCAAAUCUGUUUUUAAAGGGACAUUUCAGCAUUUUAGAGCGAUGUAUGAGUCACACGUCACUAAUGAAGGUUUUAACAGCAGUGGAUAUCAGUCGGCUUUGAUGGGACACUGUUGGGAGGAACCGCGUGCAAGCUAGGCUACACCACCUCCACCUGCAGCAGGACCAGCUAACCAGGUCACUGAUGUGUAACCCCUGUCCCAUGAGAAGUAAUAGGGCUGUUGUUGUUUAGUGGGACGGGGCCCGAGUUCGUCUGGCACUACCUGUGAUGACAGUAUAUAAAAUAUUGUGGUGGUAAAAAGUAAACACUAAAGGUGGUACUUUCCCUUUAAAAGUCACUUAAACCUGUUUAUAUUGAUCCAAAAUAUAUAUAAAUAUAAAUAUAUAUUUUUAGUUUUUAGUGCUGCUUUUAUACUUGCACUAUACUGGGGCAGCUGUAGACCCUUUCAACAGUUUAUUUUUUUAAUAUUGACAUUUGUAUUGAGUGACAUGACUGCCACUUGUUUCACAGAAAGCAAACAGUUUGUUAUUCUCCAGUGCAGAGCCUUUACUUUGAUUUAUACAGCCGCUUUAUUUCAUUUGAGUUUAUUUAUUCAAAGUUUUCAAAAAUUUGUUGAAGGUUCAGAAAAAUUAAAGAUAUUUAUCUUUGAAGCCACAUGUGUAAGCUCUCAAAUACUUCUUGAAUGUUGUUUCUAUCUGCUACAAACGCUGAGAUAUCAGCUUAUUUAUAAACCUCAGGAUCUGGGGGCCCUUCUCAAAGUGGCCCUCAGGGUUUCAGAGUCUCAGACUGGGUUCAGGUCUUAGUGGGUUAAAUCAGCAUAAACAAAAAAGGCAUGUGCAAAGUGUUAAUUGUACUCACGAAUCCACACAGUCAGAGAUGAAGAUGGGAAAAAGGAGCAGAUGUGCAGUUUCAGCGGUUAGUGAAUGGAGCGUACAGCAACACGGGGCGGCAAACUGCGCUGAAGUCCAGCACGGUCCAGGUCGGUCCUCACUCUCUCUUCCUCUGAUGGAAAAUGUCUGCUCCUAAAUCACACAAUCACUCUUAGUAAAUAAGUUACAGGCUCAUUCAUGGCAAAAGAAAAACCCAGAAUGUCUCACAAAUUAGCAAUAGCUAACGACAACGCAGAAUAAACAGUGAAAGCCUAUGGUGAGGCUAAGCUAAAGGCUAGCAGUGAUUAGUGAUUCAGUUAGCUUUUUACGCAUUACAAAUUAACCACAGUACCGAGCAAAUCAAUACACAUGAAUUUACCUCUGACAGAUUCCCAGAGUUCACUCACAUCAGCCACAGGAAGUUAGGAGUGUUUCACUUUUACAGCUUAGAGACUUCCUGCUCUCAUGAGGAGAAAACUUCUUCUUCUUCAAUGGAAUUUAUUGGCAGUUGGCAAACCAACUUGAAGGUGCAUUACUGCUACCUACUGGUCUGGAGUGUGGAACAGUAAUUUGGUAGACAAAAACCUAAAUAAGGAAAUUAGAUCCCUGUAUUUUUCAAAUAUGCCAUUAAAUGCUUCAGUGUAACUUCUGACUCUGCUCCGAGCAGGUUCCCCAUAUUAAGUUCCAUCCUGACUUCCUCUGCUGCUGCUGUCUGUGUCCUUCUUUCCUCCUCAUAUCCUCCACAAUCCAACAACACAUGCUGGACAAUCUCUUUUCUUCCUCUUUUGAUUUCACCUCUUUUAUUCUGCUGUUUGACAUUUAUUCUUGUCGACCUUUGGUGUGAAAUCUUCACUUUUUCAGAGUGACCAAACAUCCUCUUUUACCCGGACAUGUCCUCAUUUUGGGGGGCUGUCCGGCCUUGUCCGGGGGAGUUUAUAAAAUCCUUCAGAUGUCCGAGGUUUUGUUUGGAAGUUUUGAGUUUGUGUAGCGUGGAUGAACUAACUAACUAACUAAAUUUGCUACACAUGACUCCUGACUAGUCGUGUCCUCUUUUUAGAGAUACAGAAUAUGGUCACCCUAACUUUUUAAAAGGUGCUAAAUACAUAAAAUUAUUAUUACUGUUGUGAGGGUAGAGGACAUGACUGUAACUCUGACCUGUUUGGUGGAUUCAGGACAAAAAUAUUAACACUUGUUGGGAGUUAGCGGGUUGUUUUAGCAUCAAUUUAUACACUAAUAUAUUUAUUUUGUCUCGCCUCUGAGUUAAGAGAAACAUGCAUUUAAACCCUGAAUGUGUUUCUUCUUUAUAAACUAAAACCUCCUCAUUCAGACUCUCAUCCAUCAUUAAAAAAAACGUCAUAAACAACAGGAAACAAUUGUCCUUUAGUUUGAACCUCUGCAGCCGCCGACCGUCUGUGAACCUGGUCUGUGGCGGAGAAAUGUCGUUAUUGUCAGAGUCUAUUAGACCUGACUUCCACUGAUGUUUAGCAUCCAUUUGUGCUCUGAAUACUGUCGUUUUUAAUAAGCUUGCUGGGAAGCAUAAGAAGAAAAUGUACAAUGAUAAGUUAAUUAAAUUUGAAACAUUACAGAUCGUAAUCAUCGACUCGGGAAAAAACUAAACAGUCAUUUUCUGUCCAUGCCCACUUAGACAGAAAGAGGGAAACGCGUGUAUUUCAAUUACUUGAAAGGUUCAUCUUCCCGAGGUUCAAAGGGAAAAGCUGAGGCAUUUUAAAUUAGACAUGGGGCCUUCUACUUCUUGACUAGUUUUAUCAGUAAUUACAUUACUCAUCUCCAAAUCACACCCUCAUCAUGCUUAAUCGAGCAAAAAUUGGACACAGAAGAAAAAUAAUGACGGCGCCCUUUUCCAUCAAAGAAAUCCAUUUAUAAAAACAGCAGACAUGUUCGUGGUUUUCCCCUCUGCCGGCUGAGAACAGUUCAGACUUUUUUUUUCCAUCCAAGGACACUCGCUCGCUCAUUUCUCUGCAGACUGAACUCCUGUGAAGAUGUGAGGGGACGUUUUUUCUUUUGUGGCCACCCACAGGUACACUGUCCGACUCUUAAUAGCAUCAAUGAAAUAUUAAAGACCGGAGUUACUUUUAAUGAACUUCUUUGAGGCUUUACUGUCUGAUCACUUUAUCCCAUAUUAAUAGUUUUAAUAACUUUAAAAGAGAAAUGUGUCCUGAUCCAGGAAGAGUUCAUUUAAUUAUGCUUUUGACUGAAAGUGUCUGGAGAUGAUGAUACUCAGAAACAGCACCAGACUCUGGAGGGGGAAUCGUCGCAUCCAGUUGUCCUUUCAACAAAGAACGGGAAAUCAUAGAUGCUGCAUCCUCAGUUUUAAAGGGUCAUGGCAGUUUUCCCAUAGUUUUCUUUUCAGACAAUGCUUUUAUUUUGAAGGAUCACCCAGGUCAAGAAGAAACUUGCAAAGAUCUUCAAAGAAGUUGUUGCAAUCACGUUGACUUCGGGUAAUCUACAUCAGCAAUUAAAGGUGGCGUAGGCAGGAAUCCGUUAAAGAUGCAUCUUUUUUUGUGGUGUAUUUAAUAUCAGUCAAUAGUUAUUACUUAUUGAUGACAUUUGGUAAUAUAUCGAUAUCUCUGUGUUCUCUCUCUGACUGUAAACAAAGCCGUUCUCCACCUCCUCUAACCUGAUUGGUUGUGAGGCAGACGCUGCUCCCCCGUGUCGUUCAGGAGCCCAAACAAAGUUAGCGUGCUACAAUAUCGGACAGUAGAAACCAACCAGAAAGUUCGGAAAAUUGUCUGAAUCCUCCUUUGGCCACGACUGCCGACACAAGCAAGAAAACAAAGUAAAUACCGGAGACUCUGGAGGAAUAACGGGCGCUUAAAACGGAGGUAGACCGGACAAGAGCUAAAAAGCCGGGUCAACAUAAACGAUGGGGGACGCUUGGGGAUCUUGGUGACCCUGUAACCUUUCUGCUGGACAGGUAAACCGCUUUAACAAAGUAAGACAAGUGUCUGUAACAGAAGUGUUUCUUGUCAAACGGACCUGCUGUAGCGUGUUGUAGCGCCAUCGCUAAACUGUCCUCCCUCGGGUCCUGGACUAUGUCACUUUAUCCUCGUUGUAGAAGUCCUGCAAACAUUGUGUUUGCUGGUAGUCUGUUGGCAUCUACAGUAGCACCAAUGCUUUUGACUUUCACCUUGACUGGGCCCCAUUUGUAAUGAUCUGAAGUAUUUAUCUGCAUUAUAUCUGAAUUUAAUUGGAACGAUACGAGCGAGCAGGAGCGUCUGUUUGUCUUCCUUGGCGACCGUCUUUGUUCUCCUCUCUUUGCUCAGCUUGAGUACCUGAAAAAACCCCAAAAGGUUCGCUAACAUGCGUCAAAAUCUACAUAAUUUUACCGAUCAAAUAACAGCAGAUAUAACGCCAUCCAAUUUCCCGUCUUCAGGGGUCAGAUAAGUACACUUGGUAUCCCAACAGAAGGGUCCAAAAACAGUCAUACGGUUCCUUUCCAAACAUUUUAAAGUUAAAAUAAAUAUAUUUAUAUGUAAUGAGAUUUUCCUGGAGUUACUGCAUCAAACAAGUGUUUCUGUUCAGGUUAUAACUUGUGUUUUAUAAUGUUGGCAUCUGCGCUGGGACAGGAGCAGCAGCCUCUCGGGUAAAAUGAAACAGCUUUCAUUUAGUCAUGCAGACCGACAGGAGGAUUUAUGUCCACGCAUUAAACUCUGUGCAAUGUACUUAUGCAACUAAACUGCUGAGAGACCUGCAUGCAAGUGCAAAGCAAUAGGUGUAAAUUCCCCCUCGCUGUUGCAGUUACAAGUCAGCUUUUAUCCCGACGCUUUACGCUGCAAACCUCCUGGAAGAAGAUGUGCUGAGAACGUGGAAAUAAUCUUUGUAUUCAGAAAAAUGUCAGCUGAUGAGAGGACAAAAAAAAAAGCUGAAUCUGUGUCCUCUGUCAACCCAAAGAUCAUUAAGUGAAGAGUCCUGGACCGACAUGACGUGUCUGCAGAGCUGACGUGUGCAGGAAUCGCACCUGUCUGACCUGUGGGCUCCAUUUGAGGGGUAAUUAGUGUGAAAUAAGAGAGGUCAACGAUAACAGGAGGUUAGUGAGGGAGAGGAAUGAGACGCUAACAGGAAAAUUGGCGACGGAUAAAGGAUCAAUUUCUAAACUUAAGGAGACUAAUAAUGAUUAAAAUAGACGAUGAAGAGAGCUGUAACGGUCAUUCUUGGUCUGAAAACAUGAAUUCGUUUUACUCCCUCUGUUUACAUUCAUGGUGUCUCCUACGAUGUUCUGCUCUUACUCAUGUGAACUGAGGCGAGAUUCCACCUGGACCAUGUCGGCUCGUAGCCACUGGAACAUAACUAGCUCCAUCACACCCUCAUCUGUCCCUCAACCACAGCUGCCAAGACCCUGUGAUCCUUUGUCCCCCCCGAGUCCCUGAGACCACAGCUCCUCUGUUUGUCAGUGUGUGAGGGGGCGGACGGUGAACUACCAGACACCUCUGCCUCCUCCUCCUCCUCCUGCACCUGCGCCCUGCAGAAAAUCCUCGGAGAGACCAUUACAUGAUCACGGCUGACAGAGCAGAUCCCAGCUCUGCCUCUGAGGCCGGCGACUGUUCACGGUGUGAGGAUGAGUGAGCUUUAAAGUUCAGAGAGAGCCAGGAGUCCUGCACGCCACGCCGUCAGGCGGGGAGCUGGAUCACACUUACAUGAGGAGGAGGAGGAGGAGGAGGCUGAUGUCAGGGCUGGAGCAUCUGCAGCGAGGCGUCAGGAGGAAACACGGACAUGAUGGUGAUCAUGAUGCACAUCCUCUCUGGCGGACUGUCAUUGAGAAAAGAGUCAGACUUCCUGUGAAUCACUUUUCUAAGGAACGUGACCCUCAAUUUCCACCGCAUCCUGUACAGCUACGAAAAGGUAGUAUUCUCCGAUCGUAGCUGAUCGUAACCAUUCAAGUUAACGUGUCAAUUUCUUUGAGGUGAAUUUCGUGGCGGAUUACGGACAGCAGGAAUCGCGAGAACUCACAAGAACCUACGGAUUCAUGUUCAAUCUCAAUAUAACAAGUUGUCUCUCUAAAGACAGACACAAAGACAUAUAAGCAGUAGAUUGUGUCCUUCCAGAGGAGGAAAUCUACCUCUAGACUUCUAGAAUCAGCAUCUCCUCAUCCAUGGUGUCAUCGGGGUGAAAUGACGUCUAAAAACCUUUCACUUGUUCGUCUCCGUCUCUUAUUUUGAAAAGAAGCCGGAUGUUUUAUUUUGUGUCUGUGCCCGACUUCCUUUCCAGCACGGGUUAAUAUGUGCUGAAUUUAUCCGCCAUGCUCCGGCGUCCGAAAAAAACUCUUGCGAUCAGCAGAGGAACGGAAAGAAGUCGGUGUAAAUUGACACGUUAACUUGAAUGGUUACGAUCAGCUACGAUCGGAGGAUACAACCUUUUUGUAACUGUUCAGGAUGAAGGUGGAAAUUGCGGGUUAGGUGAAAUGUCUUAAGUAAAUCCAGUUGUUCUUUCAAUGAAGAACUGGAAAUCAUAGAUGCUGCAUCCUCAGUUUUUAGGAGUAGAGUAAAAGUCCUUCAUUCGGCGGGUAUCACACCAACGGUCCGGUCUCUGAGAAUAGAACAUGAAGCCAGCUCAUCUGUGACAACCACACAUGAUGUUCCAGAACAUGCUAAACCCUGAGGUGUUGGUUUUGGCCUCAGGCGUGUUUUCGAACCUUUACGCCAAACUCUAAAAUGCAGGAUAGGAUGUUGAGUUAACUUUCACCUCCCUCCUUCCUAAUGAUUCUUCUCAAAGCCGUCAUUUGCAGUUUCAAACCCUGAUUUGUGGUGACGCUCUCAGAAUAAAGGCUCACAGUCCGCACAGACUGGGAGAGCGCUGUCAGAGUGGAUUCAUUGUCUGCUUUAUGGUGAAUCACCGUGGCCUGGAAAUAAUUCAUCACAGCGCCGAACCAGCUGUGAAGUGAGAAGUCUGCUGCGGUUGUUAUCCCUAAGUGCUCCUCUCCUUUUGUCUGCACGACUCGGCUCGCUCCGGAUGGCACCGGCGCUGCAGAUCGAGGUCCAGGAAGAUAAAGGUCAACCUUUUCUCUUAAUUGUUCAAGGCUGAAUAAGCUCGCAACUGGUACAGUGAAGGUUGGUUCAAAAAGAGCACCAGCACGGAGAGAAAGCGGCGGCGGCGGUGGUGGUGGUGGAGUGAGAAAGAACAUGACGUUUGCUGUUGCAUGAGAAGUAGGUGUGUAGUAAGUGUGUGUGAGUGUGUGUGUGUGUGUGAGCACAUGUGGUUGUUAAAACUCUCCUCUGUGCAGGCCCUGAAGGUUGGCCCAGACUCUACUGUCAUUUCUCAUCCUAAUGGUUCCUGCCACAUCCUCCUGCCAACACACGGCUGGAGAACAACCAAGAGCCAGGAGGAGAAAAGAAAACUCAACAGACGUUCAAUCUGUCUCUCUCUCCCUCUCUCUCUCUCUCCCUCUCCCUCUUUCUCUCUCUCUCUGAACAAAAAGUGACUCCUCAGUGUUAAGAAUAGAAACUGUAAAGUGAGUACUCCCUUCCCUCACACACACACACACACACACACACACACACACACACACACACACACACACACACACACACACACACACACACACACACACACACACUUACCCUACCAACAGUGGACUAUCAGUCCACACUGACCAAGAGGAAACCCCGAUUUCUGGUCGUUUUAUUAAAACAAAAAUAUAAAAGAAAAAUUUCUUUUAAGGUCUUUUACCAAAAUGUUUCUUAAAAUGUGACUUGAGUUGUUUUGGGACCUGGAUCCUUGAGUGAGAUCUACGUGUCUAACAGGGACCUCCAUAUAAGGCAGUGGAGCUGUCUGAACCCGUCCACACUGAUGAUGAUGAUGAGAGCUUGUUUAACACAACGACUUUCUAUGUUUCUUUAAAAAUGGCUGAUUUAACCUAAAUGUGAUAAUUAUUUAAACAUUUCCCUCUGAGAGAAAUAUUUAGAAAUAUUUUAGCUCCAGUCAUUCUGUGGAUUAUAUUUUCUUUUAAAGCUGCUCUAACCCUCUGGGGCUCUUAACACAUUUUUGUCCAUUUUUUUUGUGACUUUUUACUUUUCAUUUGGUGAUCAUUUUGGUUGUUUCAAUGCAAAUAGGAUGAUUUUUUCAGGGAUUUUUCUUUUCUUUUCAAAUUUUUAAACAUGACCACCCAUUAUUUAAUCAGGUCAAUAUUCACUGAGUGACAAAAACACUACACUUUAGGUCCUUAGAUGGACAAAAAUGUCCAUUUCCUAAAAGUGCUAUAAAGAAUAUUAUACAUCAAUAUUUUUUCUAUUUUUUAUUUAUUUUUUUUGCUUCUAAUCUAAGGACCUAAAACAUCAAACAUAAUACUGCAUUAAAAUGAAGGUUGUUGGUAAUUAUUGACACAUCAUAGACCGAAAUUCCUGCUCAACAUCUAAUACAUGCAAAAUAACUCCAAAUUCCUUUUUUUCCCAUUAAUAAAAACAAUGACAUGAUAUAGUCAAACUGGCAUUUAAAGGGUUAAAAUUCUGAAAAUGAAUCAAUAUUUGAUAAAUAUGAUCAGAAAUGAAGUUCUUUAAACUUUUUGCUCUGAAGACGUUACAAAUUUUACUUUUAGUCUUCAACAGUUUAAACUGUUUGUUUUUGAUGUUAUCGAUGGUCUGAUGGCAGAAUUUGGAUUCAGGUUUGAUCACUCUAUAAAAACAGUCGGCUAGUUUAAACACUAAAAUAAAUCCUUAAUGGUGUAAAAGCUUCUAUAUUUGUAUUAAAAUAACUUCAUUUACUGGAUAAUAAUAAUAAGACGUUAGAAAAAUAGCAUUGGUAAAGUCUCCUCUGUGUCCCUGGGAGGGUGUUUGACUUCAGCUUUAUAAAUGAUGUCUGUGUUGUGUUUGAUGCAUUGUCCUGUGUCAGCAGCUGCCAGCAUAAAAUCAAUUAAUUACAUAUUUUUCAUCUCUGUUCAGUUUAAUACACCUGGGGUUAUUGAUUAUGGCAAGAGCUGUGAUUAGAUAAAAGAGGCCCUGGAGUUCAUUUAGAAAUGACUGCAAACACAGGAGAGGAACGGCGAGGGUAUUUAUCUGAGAGCGUGAAAACAAACAGGGAGAGAGCGAAGGUUUGAAGGUUUGAAGCUCUCUGAACUCCUGAUUAAGUCUCGUUUUAUAAAGUAUCUGUCUUUGUGUCUUAUCUGCAAACACACGCUCAAUAAAAACCACAUCAAUAGAGUGUGAUGAUGAACUCUGAAGGCUGAGGUAUGAAGAAGUCAAAUCUGUACUUGACUUAAACCUGCAGGUUUUAUCCUGUGAGUGUUAAAACUGAUCCAGCUCCUCUUGUAAUCUCUGCAUGCUCUCCUCCUCCUCCUCCUCCUCGUCUCCAUCUCUGACUCUGAGCAGAUUAAAUCACUUUAGUGGAUCUGCAGCGUCCUCCGCUCUCCUGUAGCCGUUAAGAAUUCAGCUCUGCUCUUUUACACAUUUGGUUGCACUGACUGUCAGCGAGAGAUAACUUCAGUUUUUUAAACUUGAAAGAAUUAAUUAGCUGCAGUCGAGGACUGAGAGAGAAACUGAAAUCUUGUCUUGUUAGUGGCUGCAGAAGUCCCAGCCUGGUUAAAGAAAUGGCCUCCUCAGCAGACAGCGGUGGUGUUACAGCGUCCGUCUGUCUUAAAGAGAGGAGGGAGGUUUGAUCUGCAGCUCGAAGAGGACUGUGUUGUACUUUGGUCUUAUGCCUAACAGAGUCACAUGAAGAAACUGUCAUUACGUUUGAGAGUUUCAGAGUUUGAGAACUCCGAUUAGGACACCCAGAUAAUGUGAUUGGAAUUCAAUUUUCUCUACCAUGUAACCAGCGUAGUCGGAGUAUGAUUGGACAAUGUAUGUGCGCGUCCGCCACGCCCCCGUAACUGAGAGUAAGUUACCGUGAAACAUAUAAACAAAUCAACCCUACUCUUCACACCGAUGUUCUCCUUUCAUAACACCAGUCUGGGACACCUGUGGAGCAGCUUUCAGCACUACUUAGCUGGACACAACUUAGAGUGAUCGGACAAUGUGUGUGCGCCACACCCCUAUAAACCUGGAACAAAACCCCCAGAGUAGAGGAGUAGCGUUGGUCUCCUCUUUAGAAAAAGUAGCGCGUCCAUCAUGUCAGACAAAAACAACGCUGUACGAUGCUCCAUCUUCUUGUUUCUCCAAAAUGCCCAGCAGCAGUUGUAGACACUUCUGACGUCUGACACCGACCUGCUAUUGUUGUUGACAGUUGUAUGGGGUCGGAAACAGGGCCGUUGAAAAGACCCAUAUCGCCCCCUAGUGUUGGGGAGGAGGACACGUUCACGUCAAUAAUUCAGUUUUCUCAGCUGCUAGUAAAUGAGGACAAGGAGAGAAGUCUGAUUCAGAGAAACAAUGAAUUAUGAGGUUAGUCCGAUUAAACUGUGACUGUAAACGUACCGAGUGAUUCCUGAAAUCAGUUUUGGGGACCUGACUGGGACUGGGAAUGUUGGAUUCAGGGUUAAAUAUUAAUAAACACAGAAUUUGGUAGCGCAACAUCUGGAAAAUGGGAUUGUGACAUGAGAAAUGGAUUUGGACUGAGAGCCGACAUUUCACUUCCUUCGAUCAAGUAUGAACUCAAAUUAUCUGCAAACCAUCACCUCUUUUUUUUAUCCGUAAACUUCUCAGCGUUGAGGUCGUUAAUUUGGGGAUUUUCUUAAAUUCCGUCUCGUGCUGCUCAGCGUUUUCAUCCUGCGGUAAUUUUUCCCUCCUAAGCAUGUUCAGAAAGCUGGAAAUGUCAAAUGCAAAUGCGGCGGCGGGGAUAUUUGCACUCUUAGAGCAGCCGGUGUUUUCGUUCUCCUUUUACUCCGCCGCGGUGUCGGCUCAGUCUUCAUACCUGUUUCUCUCGGGGGACAUAGCGCUGGUGUCACUCACGUCCAUCACCUUCGCCGGCUUCCAUGCGUCACCGCCACUGUCUGCCUCUCGAAAUCACCUGCAGCACAAAGAUCCCAACGUGUGUGUGUUUGUGUGUGUUUAAACUUUGAGUGGCUGUGCUUGAGAAACUCUUCCUUACACUAUAACAAGAGUUGAUGCUGAAAAAAGGGUCUCCAAAAUUCACCUCGGAUAACCUGCUGCUGCAUGAGACAAGAGAGAGAAGACGGUCCUUCUGUGGACAAAACAGUCAUUUUCAUUUUCUUUGACGUCUUCCUUUUGUGGGUCUGGGGGGUCAAAGCUAGGCCCCUAAUGUUAUCAAGUCCAAGACACACUCCACGGCAGGACUCAGAAAGCUGCAAACCAGUCAGGACAGCUCUGAGAUCAGUCAGAGGUUAAAUUGGAUGUUUUUACAUGUCGUUAAUUCGUCUGAAGUUUGACUAAAAUCUUUCAGCACACUUUAGAAAGUUUGAAGAUCUUCGAGGUCUCAAACGCCCCGUCAGGUCGAGUCGAGUUUGCACGAUAAUAAACCUGUUAAACACGUCGCAGGUCCUGUUACUGCAGAAUGUGACAACUGUAGUAUGCAGCGCUGCCAAAGUCUGACUCAGGGUUCAAGUUUCUGAAUGAAAUACAAACCAAAUAAAGUUCAGAUUGAUUUCCUGCUCAUUCUCGCUUACAGACUUUUUCAAGACAACAUGGAGGAUUAGAAGAUUUGGGAACAUUUCCUCACAAAUGGUUUCAUAAUUUUCGUCCAACUUCAGGCGUAGAAACCGUUGGCUUGUUUACUGCGUCUCUGAUCAUCAGCGGUGUUCAGAGCGAAGCUAAAGGCGUGCUGAACUCCUUUUCUACGCUCUCACGUGGAGCAGCAGUCAGGGGGAAGCAUGCUUUGUGUCUGUGUCAGUUUGACGUAAAGUCGAUGAUUAUGAGAUCAUCUUUACAGCCUGUGAAUUUCAUAUCCCCGAUCCCGGUCCCGGUCCUGCUCAGGAUUUAUGGACUCCAUUCUCAUCGGGAAAAUAUGAGUUUUCAUUCAUGUGAGGGACUCUACCUGCCGUGUCUUCUAUACUUCGAGUGCAUGGAUGUCUCCUCCCUAACGCUCCAUAAAAAGAGUCUAAAGCCGUCCACUGACUUGGUAACGAUCUGGAACAUUUUAUUCCUGUAUGUAAGUCACUCGACGUGCGCUGUAUAUCAAAUGUCGAAAAAAAAAACGACAUCAUGAACGCCGAACAAUGGCUGGAAAUCCAACGAGGAUAAAAGAUGAUGAUGUAAGACAGGAGUAAAACCAGGCGGACUGGAUCUCCGUCAAAAGGCCCUAAAAGUCUCGAUAUUAUGGGAUAUCUUUGCGUUUACAUUUCUGAAGUUUGUGUGCGUGUUUCACCUGUGCACUAAAUUACGUAUGCGUGACCAUGCGCCAGAUAUCUCCAACAGUCAAAGAGGAUCAUUUCCCAGACAGCACAUCUGUCGUCGCCCUCAGAAAGAUGACAUUGUCCUCACACGGAGCGUCUACUCUCCUCUGAUAGUUAAUGCCUCAUUGAAAGCCAUUUGCCACCCUCUCCUUAAUUGUGGCUAAUAAUCCAAUCCCGCUCUCGGUAUCAGCGUGCCAAGCACCAUUAAGAUAAAAUGGGGACAUGGAGGAGGGGAGGAAGGCAGACUAAUGACAUCCUCAAGAAAGUGAGUGUUUGGUUCUAGCUGGAGGUCCACGGUGAUACUUUUAAAGUUGAUAUUAUAGAGAUUUAACGACUAUCAGAUAGACACUAACACUUAUUACUCUCGUUAAGUGGACAGCUUUCAUUCCCCGUCCUGAAAAUCAUUUUAUGACCUCAUACCCCGUUUCAGAAACCCGACACUUUGCCAUGAGUCUUAAAAAACUGUCCGCUUUUCUUUCCUGGCAAAUUUAAAAGUUAUUAUCGUUAAUAUCAAAGUCCCCUUUAGCAUCUGAUUUAAGGCGCCCGUUAGCAUUUGUCCCUGUGUCCUUGUUAGCAUCUGUUUCUAAAGUGCCUGUUUUAAAGAAGACUGAUCCAUACAGUCUUCAGCUGUAAACCUCUUCUUAGAGCAAAGUCUCUUCUUAAUGAGGUCCAUGGAUGUUGGUGCAGUCCGCAGACGUGUUUUCAGGGGUCCCUGCAUGGCUCGUUUUGGUACCAAGUCCUGGAAGUGAGCUCAGAUCCUCUGAUUAAGAUAACCAGAACUGGACGGAGGUUUUUGAGUCUUUCCUGGAAACCUGAGAGUCCUUUCAGCUGCGAAGGAAAACGGUGAGAAGUUUUGUGUUUUGGGAACAACAUCUGCAACGUCGUGAUGUGUGACGACACUUCAUUGACAACUCUUGUAAAAAAAGGCCAGUUCAAACUGGAUUUGAGUCUCAAAUGUUAGUGAAACCUGGAGCUUCAUCUAAAGACCUUCAUGAGGUCUGUAAGACCAGUAACAGCCUCAGAAGGUUUUCUCUAACCCUCAAUUUCCACCGCUCCUGGAAAGGCUACGAAAAGUCUGUAUCCGCCGAUCGUAGAUGAUCAUGUUAACGUGUCAAUUUCCACUGACUUCUUUCUGUUCCGCUGCGGAUCGCCGGACUCCACAGCUGAUCACAAGAGUUCUUUUUUAUCUCUGUGUUUCAGGCCAUUUCACCCCGAUGACAACAUGGAUGAGGAGAUGCUGAUUCUAGAAGUCUAGAAGUAGAUUUCCUCCUCUGGAAGGACACAAUCUACUGCUUAUAUG